RNAcentral lists this ribosomal RNA (1444 nucleotides) under Escherichia coli O26:H11. RNAcentral describes it as "bacterial LSU rRNA". It matches the Rfam family "Bacterial large subunit ribosomal RNA", at positions 1439 to 2863 of the family's 2925-position model. Lineage: Bacteria; Pseudomonadati; Pseudomonadota; Gammaproteobacteria; Enterobacterales; Enterobacteriaceae. The record is from RNAcentral.
CUGUACUUGGUGUUACUGCGAAGGGGGGACGGAGAAGGCUAUGUUGGCCGGGCGACGGUUGUCCCGGUUUAAGCGUGUAGGCUGGUUUUCCAGGCAAAUCCGGAAAAUCAAGGCUGAGGCGUGAUGACGAGGCACUGCGGUGCUGAAGCAACAAAUGCCCUGCUUCCAGGAAAAGCCUCUAAGCAUCAGGUAACAUCAAAUCGUACCCCAAACCGACACAGGUGGUCAGGUAGAGAAUACCAAGGCGCUUGAGAGAACUCGGGUGAAGGAACUAGGCAAAAUGGUGCCGUAACUUCGGGAGAAGGCACGCUGAUAUGUAGGUGAAGUCCCUCGCGGAUGGAGCUGAAAUCAGUCGAAGAUACCAGCUGGCUGCAACUGUUUAUUAAAAACACAGCACUGUGCAAACACGAAAGUGGACGUAUACGGUGUGACGCCUGCCCGGUGCCGGAAGGUUAAUUGAUGGGGUUAGCGCAAGCGAAGCUCUUGAUCGAAGCCCCGGUAAACGGCGGCCGUAACUAUAACGGUCCUAAGGUAGCGAAAUUCCUUGUCGGGUAAGUUCCGACCUGCACGAAUGGCGUAAUGAUGGCCAGGCUGUCUCCACCCGAGACUCAGUGAAAUUGAACUCGCUGUGAAGAUGCAGUGUACCCGCGGCAAGACGGAAAGACCCCGUGAACCUUUACUAUAGCUUGACACUGAACAUUGAGCCUUGAUGUGUAGGAUAGGUGGGAGGCUUUGAAGUGUGGACGCCAGUCUGCAUGGAGCCGACCUUGAAAUACCACCCUUUAAUGUUUGAUGUUCUAACGUUGACCCGUAAUCCGGGUUGCGGACAGUGUCUGGUGGGUAGUUUGACUGGGGCGGUCUCCUCCUAAAGAGUAACGGAGGAGCACGAAGGUUGGCUAAUCCUGGUCGGACAUCAGGAGGUUAGUGCAAUGGCAUAAGCCAGCUUGACUGCGAGCGUGACGGCGCGAGCAGGUGCGAAAGCAGGUCAUAGUGAUCCGGUGGUUCUGAAUGGAAGGGCCAUCGCUCAACGGAUAAAAGGUACUCCGGGGAUAACAGGCUGAUACCGCCCAAGAGUUCAUAUCGACGGCGGUGUUUGGCACCUCGAUGUCGGCUCAUCACAUCCUGGGGCUGAAGUAGGUCCCAAGGGUAUGGCUGUUCGCCAUUUAAAGUGGUACGCGAGCUGGGUUUAGAACGUCGUGAGACAGUUCGGUCCCUAUCUGCCGUGGGCGCUGGAGAACUGAGGGGGGCUGCUCCUAGUACGAGAGGACCGGAGUGGACGCAUCACUGGUGUUCGGGUUGUCAUGCCAAUGGCACUGCCCGGUAGCUAAAUGCGGAAGAGAUAAGUGCUGAAAGCAUCUAAGCACGAAACUUGCCCCGAGAUGAGUUCUCCCUGACUCCUUGAGAGUCCUGAAGGAACGUUGAAGACGACGACGUUGAUAGGCCG